GACGAACCGUGCGACCGUUGUUCGGAUUCACUGGGCUUAAAGGGCGCGUAGGCGGCUUGCCAAGUCAGGGGUGAAAUCUUUCGGCUUAACCGGAAAAGUGCUUCUGAUACUGGCGGGCUGGAGGGAGGUAGGGGCAGACGGAACUUCCGGUGGAGCGGUGAAAUGCGUAGAUAUCGAGAGGAACACCAGUGGCGAAGGCGAGUCUCUGGACGACUCCUGACACUGAGGCACGAAAGCUAGGGGAGCAAACAGG
This 253-nucleotide ribosomal RNA is filed under the name uncultured bacterium. RNAcentral's name for it is "partial 16S ribosomal RNA". It matches the Rfam family "Bacterial small subunit ribosomal RNA", at positions 524 to 776 of the family's 1533-position model. The record is from RNAcentral.